AUUUUGUUUAGCAUAAAAGACUCUGAAUGGUUGGGAAGUUCCGGUUAUAGCUUGUGCUGGCGAGACGAAAUGACUUUAAAAGAGUCUGAUGAAGAAAGAAGCAGACGGAACAGAACAACUAAAAAAAGGGAUGACAAUUUUUUUCGGAGUUGGGGGUGCU
RNAcentral lists this small RNA (160 nucleotides) under Arabidopsis thaliana (thale cress). RNAcentral's name for it is "ATSL144730". The record is from RNAcentral. Lineage: Eukaryota; Viridiplantae; Streptophyta; Magnoliopsida; Brassicales; Brassicaceae.